CGGUCGUAAUUUGCUGCGGGCAUAUAAAAUGGAUAUGGCAAUCAAUGCCUCCCGCUGUCACAAUCAUUCCUUCACCUGCAAUGAUUUCAGUGGAUGCACCGAUAACAAGCUCCGGAUCAACGCCUUGCAUCGUAUCCGGGUUGCCUGCUUUUCCAAUUCCGCAAAUACGCCCGUCUCUUAAUCCAAUAUCCGCUUUCACAAUUCCCCAAUGAUCGAUAAUCAAGGCAUUUGUAAUGACCGUAUCAGGUGUCCCGUCCUUACGUGUCGCACGGGCCGACUGCCCCAUCCCGUCACGAAUCA
Molecule: small RNA, 300 nt
Filed under: Fontibacillus panacisegetis
Lineage: Bacteria; Bacillati; Bacillota; Bacilli; Caryophanales; Paenibacillaceae
Description: 5' ureB small RNA
Rfam family: 5' ureB small RNA
Source: RNAcentral